RNAcentral lists this ribosomal RNA (470 nucleotides) under uncultured bacterium. Its description in RNAcentral is "partial 16S ribosomal RNA". It matches the Rfam family "Bacterial small subunit ribosomal RNA", at positions 28 to 507 of the family's 1533-position model. The record is from RNAcentral.
GACGAACGCUGGCGGCGUGCUUAACACAUGCAAGUCGAACGGUGAACGAGGGAGCUUGCUCCCUCCGGAUCAGUGGCGAACGGGUGAGUAACACGUGAGCAAUCUGCCCCGAACUCUGGGAUAAGCGUUGGAAACGACGUCUAAUACCGGAUACGACGCGGGAGGGCAUCCUCUCCGCGUGGAAAGAACUUCGGUUCGGGAUGAGCUCGCGGCCUAUCAGCUUGUUGGUGAGGUAACGGCUCACCAAGGCGACGACGGGUAGCCGGCCUGAGAGGGUGACCGGCCACACUGGGACUGAGACACGGCCCAGACUCCUACGGGAGGCAGCAGUGGGGAAUAUUGCACAAUGGGCUGAAGCCUGAUGCAGAAACGCCGCGUGAGGGACGACGGCCUUCGGGUUGUAAACCUCUUUUAGCAGGGAAGAAGCGAAAGUGACGGUACCUGCAGAAAAAGCACCGGCUAACUACGUG